This 70-nucleotide transfer RNA is filed under the name Scolytinae sp. BMNH 1043031. Its description in RNAcentral is "tRNA-Met". It matches the Rfam family "tRNA". From Rfam's summary of the family: Transfer RNA (tRNA) molecules are approximately 80 nucleotides in length. The record is from RNAcentral. Lineage: Eukaryota; Metazoa; Arthropoda; Insecta; Coleoptera; Curculionidae.
AAAAAGGUAAGCUAAAAAAGCUAAUGGGUUCAUACCUCAUUUAUGAAGGUUUAAAAUCCUUUCCUCUUUA